ACGCUCGACACCUACGGGAGGCAGCAGUGGGGAAUAUUGCACAAUGGGGGAAACCCUGAUGCAGCGACGCCGCGUGGAGGAAGAAGGUCUUCGGAUUGUAAACUCCUGUUGUUGGGGAAAAAGAGGAUGGUACCCAACAAGGAAGUGACGGCUAACUACGUGCCAACAGCCGCGGUAAUCUGAGCGGGCUGGCAAGGC
RNAcentral lists this ribosomal RNA (198 nucleotides) under uncultured bacterium. RNAcentral's name for it is "partial 16S ribosomal RNA". It matches the Rfam family "Bacterial small subunit ribosomal RNA", at positions 328 to 539 of the family's 1533-position model. The record is from RNAcentral.